Molecule: ribosomal RNA, 537 nt
Filed under: uncultured Lysobacterales bacterium
Lineage: Bacteria; Pseudomonadati; Pseudomonadota; Gammaproteobacteria; Lysobacterales
Description: bacterial SSU rRNA
Rfam family: Bacterial small subunit ribosomal RNA
Source: RNAcentral
UCAGCAAUGCCGCGUGUGUGAAGAAGGCCUUCGGGUUGUAAAGCACUUUUAUCGGGAACGAAAUACCAUCGGUUAAUAACCGGUGGGGCUGACGGUACCCGAGGAAUAAGCACCGGCUAACUUCGUGCCAGCAGCCGCGGUAAUACGAAGGGUGCAAGCGUUAAUCGGAAUUACUGGGCGUAAAGGGUGCGUAGGCGGUUGGUUAAGUCUGUCGUGAAAUCCCCGGGCUCAACCUGGGAAUGGCGAUGGAUACUGGCCAGCUAGAGUGUGUCAGAGGAUGGUGGAAUUUCCGGUGUAGCGGUGAAAUGCGUAAAGAUCGGAAGGAACAUCAGUGGCGAAGGCGGCCAUCUGGGACAACACUGACGCUGAAGCACGAAAGCGUGGGGAGCAAACAGGAUUAGAUACCCUGGUAGUCCACGCCCUAAACGAUGCGAACUGGAUGUUGGUCUCAACUCGGAGAUCAGUGUCGAAGCUAACGCGUUAAGUUCGCCGCCUGGGGAGUACGGUCGCAAGACUGAAACUCAAAGGAAUUGACGG